GAAGCUGGUCCAGUGUAGUUCAGUAGGACUUAGGAGCUGCAAUCCUAAAUGUACUGAGAUUUAUAAUAUUAUAACACAGGACUUUGGGAACACAGCACUGUUCUGCUGUCAAUAUGUACUUUGGACGGCUAAGAGAAACUCCCACUGGCAUCCUUUCAAAUGUUAUGUUUGGAACAAAUGCCACAGGCAAGUACAAAGUGCUCCUGAAGUGAAUGGGAGACUAUAAUUGUGCUUUGCAGACAGUUUUUGCAUAAGUGUGUCAACAUCUGUCAAUAGAUUUGAGGUGUGAUAGCUAGAUGGGACCUCUGUAAUAUCUAGAGCCAGAUGCACCUAGCAUAGUAGAUGCUGGAGACAACCAAGAAGGGAUGACCACCACCUUGCUGUCAUGCUUGUGAGCUUCCAGAGGCCACUGGCUGGUCACUGCUGAGCUUUAUUUAUCAGUCGCCCCACUAGGUACUGCACACGUCAGCUGGUUUCCUUUUAGCCACCUGGGUUCCACUUCAGUCUACUUCAUGAACGGGAGCUUCAUUACUGAUGGUGUGUCUUCUAGAAAAGAAGUGUAGACUGCCAAGGUCCCAAGCAGAACUGGAAAUACUACCGAGCAGCAUAAAGGCCCUCAAGACAGCCAAUACCAAUAAUACAAAAGAAGAAGAAGAAAGCAGUUGCUACAAUCUUCAACAGCACUCAAAUAUCAACCAAUGAGGCACAUGUGCUACAUGGCAGUGAUUUUGAGAAUCUGUACACUGAAUCUAAACAGGAAUCUACUCUGAGUCUGAGCCGUCAGAGGCAGAGCAGCAGCUGAAGUGAUGAAAGAAGGAAAUUCCCAGGUGGACCAAUCAAUAUUUUAAGAGAAGACCAUUUCCAGAAGGAAAACUACAUGGAAAUGGAGUACUGAGAAAAGGACGCGUGGAAAAAACCUCAAAGACUGAUUUCCGCUCUUUACCUCUAUAAAACCAUCAGACAUUUUCAGAUUCAUCAUCAAAUCAAGAGGCAAGCAUCUACACAUCAAAGCCUAAGGAACACACUUUAGCCACCCAGGGGUUCUUCAUUCUCCAGACUAUGCAAGUCUUUUUCAGCCUCUUUUUCUAUCUCCUGCUGGCACCUGUUUUGGGGAACAGGUUAUUCCAGUUUGGACCUUGCAGCAUUUCAAUGAAUAUUAAUGAAAUCCGGGAUGGCUUUGGUACAAUUAAAAAGGUCAUUCAAGCCAGAGAUCCUAUCAGAACAGCAAGCAUUUUGCACCCACAUUCUCUGCAUAACUUUCAAAUUUUAGACAGCUGUUGCCUUGCUCGUAGCAUCUUAAGAUUUUACCUGGACAAAGUCUUCAGGCACUGUGAGACAGGAAGUCUUUACAUCAAUCGGAAAAUCAGUGGCAUAGCCAACUCCUUCCUCAGCAUAGAGAAGAAAUUCAGAGUGUGUGAUGAAAAUAUGUGCAGCUGUGGGGAAGAGGCAACAAACAAAUAUCAGCAGAUCAUCACCAACUAUGAGCAGAUGGAUGUUACACUUGCUGCUACGAAAGCCCUUGGAGAACUGGAUAUCCUGCUUAAUUGGCUGGAGGCAUAUUAGAAUCAGAAUCAGUAUUCUGUGUUACAUAGUCAAUUCUAGAGAAUUAAGGAGAUAAAAGUGGGCACUUCACUAGUGAGCACUAGAUGGGAGGCUUUAAAAAACACCUGGGUGCCCAUUAGACUGCCACGUGGUUGAGCAGGCACACGUCAACAGGCCAAUUUCCCCCAAUGCUUUAAGGUGCAAAGCCCUCUUGUGCCUUAAAGAACUGCAUAGGGCACUGGGCUUGAAGGAUGCACACACGCAGCCCCUGUACUUGAACAGGAAGGAUUUGACUUUAGCAGCAGGACUAUGCAGCAGGUUCAGCUCUAUGGAGUUAGCUUUGGGCACAGCACCUCUGCUCCAGUCAGGUAACACCUCCUACAUUCUCUUUGCUCAUCUGCGAGUCAAUUGCACCACCUCCCGAAUCAUGCAAGACUUUCUACAAUUAAAUGAGCAGCAAAAACCAAAUCAAACCGCAUCUUGUUGUAAAGCAUAUGUGCUCUUGUCUUGGACAGCUCCCAUUUCUUUCCGCAAGACCUAGGCAGGAGUCGUACUGAGUAGAUUGCCAGUGCACCCAUCCAUUGUUAAAUGAGGAGGAGUCAGGCAAAACAUAUUGUUAAAAACAAAGCAUUUCAAGCUACAUUAUGGAUAGUUCUUCUCUUCCAGUGAGCUUACAUCGAAAACAGCAGCAAGAACCCAACCCUGAAUAGGUGAUUGCUGUCUACAUAUUUCCUCCGCAUGUUGAUCUCUAUCACAAUUAUUUAAAAACACUCUCAUGGAUAUCAACAAGUAUUAUGCUGGAAGCACAUUCAUUUCUGUUAAACUUUAACUAUUCCAAAAGCAGGUUUCAAAAUAUCUAUGGUCUGAUGACAAAAGUUAUGCAUAUGAAGACAAGGUUCCAGAACAGAACACUCCCAACACAAAAGCAACCAGCUCAUGUAGGGACCCCUGGCACCCAUUGUAAUGGCUUAUGCGUGGAAGAGGCUUUGAUUCAGAGAGCUGAAAAUGCAGUAACAUCUCUUCCUUGAGAUUUUGUGAAAUUCUUCCCCACACCCUUCCUUCUACUGGAGAAGAAUGCUACCCAGGAAUCACAUUUCUGCCGAUUUGCAAAGGAUAGUGGGGGGGGGGGAAUCAAGGCAAUUGUUUGGAUUUCAGGGCUGUUGCAAAAGUUCCGUUGUUCAAAACAUGUCUGCUCUUGAACACCUUUCACUCAUUUCAAGACGUUUGUAUAUAUGUUCUUGGAAGGCUGCAUGUGUUCAUGGUUAGACAUGUCCAGGCCACAACUCCCUAUCAUUUUGUUUUUAUUAAUUUGUGCAUUAUUGUCCCUUGCCAUCCUGGAACUAGUAUUUUCACAUGUUUGUUGUACAUAUACAUAUCUUUCACUGGGCAUUAGGACGUGGGAUUCUAAAACCCAAAAACAAAUACAGCCAUGAACCCCAAUUAAAAAGGUAAAGGUAAAGGGACCCCUGACCAUUAGGUCCAGUCGUGACCGACUCUGGGGUUGCGCGCUCAUCUCGCAUUAUUGGCCGAGGGAGCCGGCGUAUAGCUUCCAGGUCAUGUGGCCAGCAUGACAAAGCCGCUUCUGGCAAACCAGAGCAGCACAUGGAAAUGCCAUUUACCUUCCUGCUAUAGCGGUUCCUAUUUAUCUACUUGCAUUUUGAGGUGCUUUCGAAAUGCUAGGUUGGCAGGAGCUGGGACCAAGCAAUGGGAGCCCACCCCGUCACAGGGAUUCGAACCGCCGACCUUCUGAUCAGCAAGCCCUAGGCUCAGUGGUUUAACCACAGCGCCACCUGGGUCCCUUUCAUUGAACCCCAAUUACUUUGAUAUAAUAUGCAGGAAAGGAAAGGAAAUACAUAUUUGUUGGAUGGUGACAUAGCUCAGUUUAUGUUAAGUCAGAAACAGAAGAUUGGAGAAGUGUCUAUAGUGAAUGUGUGGAUAUGUGCAAAAUCAGCUCAAUUUUGUAAAUGAGAACAACUCUGGCAAAUAAAGGAGAAGAGGGACAAUUAUGCUAGAUGAGGGGGAAUUGAAAGAUACUUUUGUCCAAUAUGAAAUAACUUGGGAAGGCUGCAACCAGUUCAAUAACGUACCAACUUUUAUAUAAAGAAAUUUGGAAAUGCUAAUUGGGGCAUGUCACAUAUUGCAGAUGACAUAAACUAUCCAUUGUAUCUCCACAUGCAACACACUAAAAGAAAUCAUGUCCAUAGAAAAUGGAGCAAAUAGGUAAACUGAUUGUAGGAACCAAAUAUAAGCUAUUACUGGUAAAUCUUGAAACAUUAAUAUUUAGAUUAGACUAGUUCAUCAUGGAACAGGCUUUGAUCCAGCAGAUGCUCCCAGCAGAAGAAAAGAGGUGGUGAUGUUCCCUCUUCCUGCUCACCACCAUUUCCCACACUGUUUUGGAGAGUGCCCUAGUCCUCCAGAGCAGCUUUUCAGAUGGCACAGGGGCUGCACUAGGAAGCAGGAAGCAGUGAAAAUUGCCUGUAUAACUCUUCCUUCCUGCAGGAGUGUCCUAUGUGCAGAGUUCUGCUCAUGGGAAUUCUGGAUCCCAAGCUUAUAAAUUUAAGGCUGCUAUCACUAAGCGGUGCAUACCUCAUAGUAAAUAUGCCAAGGUUUGAAUGUGAGGGAUGUAGCCCUAUCACCAAGAGCCUAGAGUAAGUUCCGCUGAAGUAAGGCAGAGUUGCUUUUGAGUAAACAUGCAUAGGAAUGUGCUGUAAAUAUAUUAAAGACUGUGAGUUUUCAUAUACUACAAAGCUGAGACAAGGAAGUCUUUUAAUAAGAUCAACUUCAGUUGGGACAAAAACUAAACAUCUGAUGGACCAAUACCACCUGUUAAUUAUACAGUACUUAUACAGCACAAUUUUCUGCAUAUAAUUUAUAUACUGUAUAUUGUUUCACUACUGCCUUUCAUGAAAGCAAGGUGAUGUACAAGGUCUACUUUGAAGUGCAGCUGGGCUCAGUAGGGCUUUCUCCCUAGUAAAUGUGUUUAGGAUUACAGCCAUAAUUACACAAUGCAUUUGAUUUAAAUGCAAUUAAAUGCUAUACACUACUGUACUUGUCUUGAAAUAAUACCUUCUGUAUUUCUCUUUGUAUUGCUAAAUGGAUGGUUGUGUGUGAGAAACACAUUUUUUGUGUAAUCUACUCAAACAAUAUAUUUCCAAAAUGUUUCACAUUCAGAAAACAUUUAGUAUUGACCUGAGCUCCCCUGAAUUCUCUUGUUGUGGCAGGAGAUACAGCAAUAAAUUUGCAUCUAGCACUAAUGCUUUGAUGAGAUUUACUUUUUUUUGUUUUGCAACUUAAUACUAUACAUUUUACACAAAUUACUCUGUUGCAUCUUACGGGGGUCUAUGUGAUAUUUGUAUAAUGAAGUAUACAAAGAGGGGGAAUCUUUUGCACUGCAACACAGUUCUCCAAAGGUUUCCUUCAUCAGGUUAUGUCAGUUUGGGGCUCUGAGACAACACAGCUUUCUUAGAACUGGGAAAGACAACUUCUCAGGAUAACAAGCACUGGCAAAGACAGCUUUUGUCAGUGAUUGAAAGGAGCAGCUUUUACAACCAACCCUACGCUUCAAAGAAUAUGAUCAUACUAAACACCACAUAGCCACACACAAAAUGUAUUCAAUCACUUCAGAACUCCUCACAACAUGUUACACCUCUGUCCUACAGAUGAGGUUAAAUAUGUGUAUAAGAAAUAAAAUGAGGGAAUGAAGCUUUCACCCUAGCAGCCCCCUGCCUCACAGCCUUACAGAAUCAGAGACAAAAUGUAUAAAGAUGAAACCAGCCUCUCCCUCAGUUUUCCGCAUCAAAACCUAUCGCAAAACAACAACACAAUGCUUUUUUUUAACUUAGAAGUAAACCCUACUUUGUUCAAUGGGGCUUACUCCUGGGUAAGUGGGUAUCAGUAUGAGUUUCAAGUCCUUUAAAAGAUUGGACACCAUAAUAUCCCCCACAAGAAGCCCACCCAAAACUCCUUAUAAUGCAAGUUGCUUUUAUACUGAGGUGAAGCUACCUUGCUGAUCCUUUUGGCUGGAAAGGCAGGAGGAUAUAAACAUGCUCAAUAAACAAAUAUUUAUUAAUAAAUAAUGUCAACACCAACACUACAACAUAUCAUGAAAUACUACAAACUGCAAGUGCAAUAGCCAUGAACAUUGGCUGACAAUUAUUUAGUACUGUACUGGAUCAUUUAUGGGGUUAGCAGUGGAAUGUUCUGCUUGUAGAAAUGCCAAUUUUUAUCCAUUCCUUCUCCCCCUUGCUGUCCCAAACAUAAACCCUGGAGAGUUGAGGGACUCUCUGGGACAUUUUUUAGUUAGUGAUUUAGCUGCGCUAGAUCAAAUGAACUUUGUACAUAUUUGGGUCCAACACAUAAAUAAUGUUAAGAACACAUAAAUAAUGUUAAGAAGAAUAAACAUCUGUUUGUACCCAAUGGAGCACCAAGUAGCCUCCCCAUCAGUGCGAGGAUUUAUGAUUGCACAAUGGGACUCCCCCCUCUUUCCCUUACAAGUGCCCCAAGGCCUCCCCAAAUUUGCUCUGAAGGGUUGAAGGAAAACCCAGAACAGAUUUAGGGAUGCAUGAGAGGAGGAGAUGAGGGAAGUUGCAUUGCACAUGAGAUGUUUACAUAGCAAUACAAGUUAUUGCCAGGUGUCAAAUACAGAUAUCCAAUAUCAGAUAUUGGAGCAUUUGGCAGAUAUCAAUGCUAGUGGAUGAAGCUUUUGAGGGUUCACAAAAUUAAAUUCAUUUCAUCUCCUCUGUGUGGCCCAUUCUUGUGUCCAGCCUUUUCCCUAGUCUGUCUUAUCGAUCCAAUCCAGUAGGAUGUCCAGCUCCCCAAGGGCUUUAACUGCUGCAGAGUGUGAGUCCAUCUGAAAAGGAACAGGAAAAGAUAAACCUUUCAAACAACCAGUGUGAAUACUGGAUAACAAAUGACAUAUCUUUGGUGUCUCCUGCAUUACUUCUGUAGCUGCUUGUACAGCAAGGUGUAACAGAAAAAGUAUGGGUAGGUACCUUAACAGGGUAAACAGCAGCUUCUGCAGGCUUAUGGGAAAUUUAUAUCAGUGCAAGGGGGAAAUUUUACAUUCUCAAUCCAAAGUGCCCUCCUUCCCUGCCCACUUGCUUUUAUUUUCUUUAAGAGACAGGAGAUCCAGUUAUGGAUCUCUUCAUCUGGUUCUGCCAUGGUUCAGCUUAGCAUGAGCCAACAGUGUGAUGCACCUGCAAAAAAACCCAACUAAUGCUAUUCUAGGCUGCAUCAACAGAAGUAUAGUGUCCACAGGGUCGGUGCUAGGGUUUUUUGUGCCCUAGGCGAGAUCACCUUCUGCCCCCCCCCCAAUUAAUAAAAAAUAAAAUAGAAAAAAUAGAAAAUAGAAAAAAUAGAAGAAAAAUAGAAAAUAGAAAAAAUAAAAAUAAAAAAUAGGAAAAAAUAAAAAAGUAGAAAAAACAAAAACAAAAAUAAAAUAAAAAACUGUUGAUCCGGCUAAAAUCAAUAUACGAACGAUCACAAUAUUUCAGUGGUGUUUUUAAGUGAGCUUAAAAACUGCCCAAGCGAGGAAGCCAUGGAGAGGCGAAGGCGGGAUGCUCCCUCGCAGCCACCGCCGCUCAGCACCACCACCGCCUCAUCCUCCUCCCCGAGCUUGGCUG
This is a non-coding RNA of Zootoca vivipara (common lizard), 7163 nucleotides long. The record is from RefSeq and is a predicted model, not a curated record. NCBI's taxonomy places the organism in Eukaryota, Metazoa, Chordata, Lepidosauria, Squamata, Lacertidae.